CCCUUAGAUGUUCUGGGCCGCACGCGCGCUACACUGUUCGACGCAGCGAGUCUUAACCUUGACCGAAAGGUUUGGGUAAUCUUCAGCAAAGUCGAACGUGAUGGGGAUCGAUCAUUGCAAUUAUUGAUCGUGAACGAGGAAUUCCUAGUAAGUGCAAGUCAUCAGCUUGCGCUGAUUACGUCCCUGCCCUUUGUACACACCGCCCGUCGCUACUACCGAUUGAAUGGUUUAGUGAGAUCUCUGGAUUGACGCUGGCUAGGGGGCGACCCUUGGCCAAGCUGUCGAGAAACUGCUCAAACUUGAUCAUUUAGAGGAAGUAAAAGUCGUAACA
This 331-nucleotide ribosomal RNA is filed under the name uncultured eukaryote. Its description in RNAcentral is "partial 18S ribosomal RNA". It matches the Rfam family "Eukaryotic small subunit ribosomal RNA", at positions 1470 to 1796 of the family's 1831-position model. The record is from RNAcentral.